This 176-nucleotide ribosomal RNA is filed under the name uncultured bacterium. RNAcentral describes it as "partial 16S ribosomal RNA". It matches the Rfam family "Bacterial small subunit ribosomal RNA", at positions 1315 to 1500 of the family's 1533-position model. The record is from RNAcentral.
ACUCCACGAAGCUGGAUUCGCUAGUAAUCGCGCAUCAGCCAUGGCGCGGUGAAUACGUUCCCGGCCUUGUACACACCGCCGUCAAGCCAUGAAAGCCGGGGGUGCCUGAAGUCCGUGACCGCGAGGGUCGGCCUAGGGUAAAACUGGUGAUUGGGGCUAAGUCGUAACAAGGUAUC